Molecule: ribosomal RNA, 541 nt
Filed under: Helicobasidium purpureum
Lineage: Eukaryota; Fungi; Basidiomycota; Pucciniomycetes; Helicobasidiales; Helicobasidiaceae
Description: SSU rRNA
Rfam family: Eukaryotic small subunit ribosomal RNA
Source: RNAcentral
GUCGAACUUCGGGGUCCGCCUUUUGGUGUGUACUGGUCUAUCGGAGGCUUACUUCUUGGUGAUCUUGUGGUUGGUGGUGCAUGGCCGUUCUUAGUUGGUGGAGUGAUUUGUCUGGUUAAUUCCGAUAACGAACGAGACCUUCUCCUGCUAAAUAGCCCGGCUGGCUACGGCUGGCUGUUGGCUUCUUAGAGGGACUAUCGACGUUUAGUCGAUGGAAGUUGGAGGCAAUAACAGGUCUGUGAUGCCCUUAGAUGUUCUGGGCCGCACGCGCGCUACACUGACCGAGCCAGCGAGUCUAUCACCUUAUCCGGAAGGAUUGGGUAAUCUUGUGAAACUCGGUCGUGAUGGGGAUAGAGCAUUGCAAUUAUUGCUCUUCAACGAGGAAUACCUAGUAAGCGUAUGUCAUCAGCAUGCGUUGAUUACGUCCCUGCCCUUUGUACACACCGCCCGUCGUUACUACCGAUUGAAUGGCUUAGUGAGGCGUUCGGAGAGCCUAUGGGGAGCUGGCGACGGCACCCCACUGGCUUGAAGUUCUACGAAC